UCAGAUGAUGUAUAAAUCUCAAUUUCGAAAAAUUGACCCUUAUGACUGGUUUUGUGGUACUCUGGUUUUAUGAUGCCUCGGCUCACUGAAGACUGGCAGUAGAUCAUUAAAGUGCCAUAUUCAGCUUCAUAAGCAGCUGUUUGUAGUGCGAGAGCAUAGUUGGCACGUAUUGCUUUUGACAAAUUUGGCCGCACCGAGAUGAUGUGCUGCUGCUCUCCUGCUCCAUCGAUGUAAAUCCUGAAGGGCGGGGCUUCGGAUAUACAGGGGGCGUGGUUAACGAAACAUAACUUUCAGAGCGGUCGACGCCGUCUCUGCCAAAUAAGCACCAGCAGUCAAGAUGUAGGAUCUGGAAAAUAUAGAGUUGACUAUCCUGAAUAUUGGGUGAUUUUUCAUAUCAUGUUUUAAUGCUAGAAUGAAAUGUAUAGAGAGAGAGCCAUAUAAAUCAGAUUGUUUGUUACCUCAUUUGAAAUGCUUGUACAUUGAACAUCACUUGUAAAAUCUUUUGUAUAAAAAUAUUAUUGUACACUGUAUAGCACUCCAACUGUAAUUUUAUUGUACAAAUGUGUUACGUGUUCUGAAUUAGUACUGAUUGGUAAAUUAUUGUUUUAUCGUUGUAUACUUUUGCAGGGUAAAUCUAAAUUUCAUAGCAUCUAGAGCAAAAUCUACUACAAUCCACAGACACUUGAUCAGAAAAUGCUCUGUUAAUUUUAGGUUGCUGCAGUUUAAUGAACCAUUUCAUGUUAAUUUGUUUCUUUUGGGUGCGCAGUUACUGACUGAUCUGGUGUUUGUAGUUGAAAUGAAAUAUAACGUUCAUGAAAAAUGUUUCUAAAAACGGGAAACGAGCGGCGUGUGCGUGUUUUAUUUCUUGCGCCAUCCACUGUCUUGUCUGAUGUACUGCAAGCGUAAACUAUAAAACGGAAACGCUUGACGCACCGUCGUGACGUCACAGCAGCAUGGCGCGCUCUCUCAAAACAAACGGCGCCGACGCUGUGCAGCACGAGAACCGCACGUUAGAGGGAAUGGAUCUGAGCGGAGGAUCCGCGCUCGGCUUGUUCACCUGUGAGCUGUGCGAAAUGUCCAGCCCGUACAGCUUCUACGGGCAGAAGCCGCCAAACACGAGAGCGAUAGUGCUCUUGGAGGAAUGUUACGGCAUGAAGGAUCCCUUCAGCCCAGAGAGAGAAAAGUUUCUUGUUUUAGGAUCCAAGUGCUGUCUGUGCAGUAAGACGGUGUGUGUGGGAACGGACUGCAGUCUGUUCUACACCAAGCGCUUUUGUUUGCCCUGUGUGCGGGAUCACCUUCAUCAGUUUCCAGAACAGGUUCGGAACGAGGUGCUGAGGAAAAAGAGUGUCCAGAAGACGUCCUCUUCAUGAUGCUAGAAUGAUUUAGUCAGGACACCAGUGAGCCAUCUGGCCAGACACAAUAUUUACAUUUUUUUUUUAAUUUUUUAUUAUAUUUGUAUUUAUGUCUUGAGCAACUGGAGGCAGCAAAUCAUGCUUUGAUUAAAAUCAUUUCUGUGCUGUCAUUAGCUGUGAUGAUUUUUUGAUGGUGAUAAAUGGCUUGUGUUGCAUGUAGCAACUAUAAAAUAAGUGAUGUUUGUGUCAUUGGUUGUGAUUACUUGAUGACUGAAAAGAUAAAUGAGUGAUAUAUUCUAGUGAUAUAAAGAUGUCUGAGGAUGUAGAUGAGUGUGAAACCGGUUGUUGGAGUGCAAACACUACUGCUACACCACACCUCCGGACCUGCCUCCUUCCAGAUCCUUCCGGCCUUAAGUUGAGGCUGAGCCUGACUAAACCUGACUUAGUUGCAAAAACCACAGUAGGUGGAGCAGACAGAGCCAUGGAGGAGCUGACCGGACCGAGGAGUGGUGGAGCUGGAGGACCAGACCAGAGAGAUGAUGGUGGAGUGGCUGACCAGACCAAGGAUGGAGCACUGGCAUUGAUGAGGAGCUGGAGACUGGAAGGAGGAGCAUGUGGCUGACCAAGUGGAGCACAGAGUGGAUUGGCAAAUAAAGUGGUGAGACAAGAGUGAUGACAACACCCGAAGAAGGGGGACCAUGACUGUGGUCUCCCCCCCCCGGCCUCCAAGACAAUGACCAGCAGCAGUUAUGCACCUUUUUCUUUUAAAACAAUGCUAAUUAUGCCCCAAAAAAGUAAA
This is an RNA transcript of Sinocyclocheilus rhinocerous, 2151 nucleotides long. It is a transcript of the gene named cysteine-rich DPF motif domain-containing protein 1-like, with no coding region annotated. The record is from RefSeq and is a predicted model, not a curated record. NCBI's taxonomy places the organism in Eukaryota, Metazoa, Chordata, Actinopteri, Cypriniformes, Cyprinidae. The transcript is spliced from 4 exons.